GGAGAGGUGGCAGAGCGGCUGAAUGCACCGGUCUUGAAAACCGGCAGCCCGCAAGGGCUCGUGGGUUCAAAUCCCACCCUCUCCG
This 85-nucleotide transfer RNA is filed under the name Planctomicrobium piriforme. It matches the Rfam family "tRNA". Rfam says of the family: Transfer RNA (tRNA) molecules are approximately 80 nucleotides in length. Their secondary structure includes four short double-helical elements and three loops (D, anti-codon, and T loops). The record is from Rfam by way of RNAcentral. Lineage: Bacteria; Pseudomonadati; Planctomycetota; Planctomycetia; Planctomycetales; Planctomycetaceae.